UACGUAGGGUGCGAGCGUUAAUCGGAAUUACUGGGCGUAAAGCGUGCGCAGGCGGUUUGUUAAGACAGAUGUGAAAUCCCCGGGCUUAACCUGGGAACUGCAUUUGUGACUGGCAAGCUAGAGUAUGGCAGAGGGGGGGUAGAAUUCCACGUGUAGCAGUGAAAUGCGUAGAGAUGUGGAGGAAUACCGAUGGCGAAGGCAGCCCCCCUGGGAUAAUAUUGACGCUCAUGCACGAAAAGCGUGGGGGAGCAAAC
RNAcentral lists this ribosomal RNA (254 nucleotides) under uncultured bacterium. RNAcentral describes it as "partial 16S ribosomal RNA". It matches the Rfam family "Bacterial small subunit ribosomal RNA", at positions 524 to 773 of the family's 1533-position model. The record is from RNAcentral.